CUCACCCUCUUACUCACGAUUCACGCUCUCACCCUCUCACACUCUCACUAGGUCUGGCCGUCAUCACGGCACGGCACACCACCACCAUGCCACGCCACGCCACGCCACCAUCGUCCACCAGUCCAGCCGCCCCUCUGCGGCUCUACCCUAGGUCUGGUUGAUUUCCCGAAACUUAAAUCUAAGUGUUUUUGUUCUCUCGCCCAACGUACCCAUCGCGCCGUUCGCCGCGCCUCUCAGGACUCAUCGCUGUGCCGCGCCUCCGAGGCUCCGCCGCGCCAUGCCAGACUUCCAGGACCCAUCGCUGUGCCUCGUCUUUCCGCGCCUCCUAACACCCACCGGCCACCGCCUUGUGUCGCGCCUCCUGACACCCACCGCCUUGUUGCGCCACUCUCCUCUUUUCACUCAGCUAACGCUCUUCUCUAGCUCACCCGUCCUCUGCUUUCCACGUUUGGCAUUGAGAAUUGUUUAGUAUUCAAUUUUCAAAACUCUCAGCUAGUAAUCAUGGAAGCCCCAUUAUGAACAAGUGGUUGCUGUUUCAAAAUCCCUUACGAUUUAAGUUUCGCAAUUUAUGAUCCAAUUUUUAAUUGUUCUGUUCACAAUUUCUGAUUUGAUUUUUACUUGUUUAAUUAUCAUGCAUCUCAUACAGUUUUUGCUGCUUUUCAGGCAUCAUUUGGUGAAGAAACUUUAAGAUUUGUCCAUCAUUCAGGAACUAUAAGUGACAUUCUUGUGGAAGAUGGAAAACCUCAGCCCCCAUUUGUGAUUGAACCAUAGAGAUUUGAAGUUGAGCUUCCACUUUGUAAUCUGAUUGAGUUGUAUAAUUUUUGUUUUUCUUACUCAUAUCCUUCAGUAUUUUGAACUUUCGGUGUUUUACUUUCAUGUAAAAGAUCCCAUAAAACUUGAUCAUUAUAUAGUUCCAUUGAUGCUUUGUAUUCCACUAUUCAUCCCGAGAAAGAGUGUAUGUUAGUUCCAUUGAUGCUUAGUGUUCCUCCUA
This is a long non-coding RNA of Lotus japonicus, 991 nucleotides long. RefSeq lists it as uncharacterized. The record is from RefSeq and is a predicted model, not a curated record. NCBI's taxonomy places the organism in Eukaryota, Viridiplantae, Streptophyta, Magnoliopsida, Fabales, Fabaceae. The transcript has 2 exons.